Molecule: ribosomal RNA, 497 nt
Filed under: Scheffersomyces shehatae
Lineage: Eukaryota; Fungi; Ascomycota; Pichiomycetes; Serinales; Debaryomycetaceae
Description: eukaryotic LSU rRNA
Rfam family: Eukaryotic large subunit ribosomal RNA
Source: RNAcentral
UCAAAUUUGAAAUCUGGCACCUUCGGUGUCCGAGUUGUAAUUUGAAGAAGGUAACUUUGGAGUUGGCUCUUGUCUAUGUUCCUUGGAACAGGACGUCACAGAGGGUGAGAAUCCCGUGCGAUGAGAUGUCCAACUCUAUGUAAAGUGCUUUCGAAGAGUCGAGUUGUUUGGGAAUGCAGCUCUAAGUGGGUGGUAAAUUCCAUCUAAAGCUAAAUAUUGGCGAGAGACCGAUAGCGAACAAGUACAGUGAUGGAAAGAUGAAAAGAACUUUGAAAAGAGAGUGAAAAAGUACGUGAAAUUGUUGAAAGGGAAGGGUUUGAGAUCAGACUUGGUAUUUUGUAUGUCUUGCUUUCGGGUGGGGCCUCUGCAGUUUACUGGGCCAGCAUCGGUUUGGACGGUAGGAUAAUGACAUUGGAAUGUGGCACUACUUCGGUGGUGUGUUAUAGACUUUGUUGAUACUGCCUGUCUAGACCGAGGACUGCGUCUUUGACUAGGAU